Molecule: ribosomal RNA, 491 nt
Filed under: uncultured bacterium
Lineage: Bacteria
Description: bacterial SSU rRNA
Rfam family: Bacterial small subunit ribosomal RNA
Source: RNAcentral
GGCUCAGGAUGAACGCUAGCGGCAGGCUUAAUACAUGCAAGUCGUGGGGCAGCAUGAGUAGCAAUACUUGAUGGCGACCGGCAAACGGGUGAGGAACACGUACACAACCUUCCUUCAAGCGGGGAAUAGCCCAGAGAAAUUUGGAUUAAUACCCCAUAAUAUAUUUGAUAAGGCAUCUUAUUAAUAUUAAAGCUUCGGCACUUGAUGAUGGGUGUGCGGCUGAUUAGAUAGUUGGCGGGGUAACGGCCCACCAAGUCUACGAUCAGUAGCUGAUGUGAGAGCAUGAUCAGCCACACGGGCACUGAGACACGGGCCCGACUCCUACGGGAGGCAGCAGUAAGGAAUAUUGGACAAUGGACGAAAGUCUGAUCCAGCCAUGCCGCGUGAAGGAUUAAGGUCCUCUGGAUUGUAAACUUCCUUUAUAUGGGACGAAAAAGGGCAUUCUUGUUCACUUGACGGUACCAUAUGAAUAAGCACCGGCUAACUCCGUG